RNAcentral lists this ribosomal RNA (465 nucleotides) under uncultured bacterium. RNAcentral's name for it is "partial 16S ribosomal RNA". It matches the Rfam family "Bacterial small subunit ribosomal RNA", at positions 338 to 795 of the family's 1533-position model. The record is from RNAcentral.
CCUACGGGCGGCAGCAGUGGGGAAUAUUGCGCAAUGGGCGAAAGCCUGACGCAGCGACGCCGCGUGAGGGAUGAAGGUCUUCGGAUCGUAAACCUCUGUCAGCAGGGAAGAACGGUCACUGUGCUAAUCAGCAGUGAAUUGACGGUACCUGCAAAGGAAGCACCGGCUAACUCCGUGCCAGCAGCCGCGGUAAUACGGAGGGUGCGAGCGUUAAUAGGAAUUACUGGGCGUAAAGCGCUCGUAGGCGGUAUGUCAAGUCAAGGGUGAAAUCCCCGCGCGCAACGUGGGAACAGCCUUUUAAACACGGACACACGGGAGUGUGAGAGGAUAGUGGAAUUCCAGGUGUAGGAGUGAAAUCCGUAGAUAUCUGGAGGAACAUCAGUGGCGAAGGCGACUAUCUGGCACAUAACUGACGCUGAGGAGCGAAAGCGUGGGUAGCAAACAGGAUUAGAUACCCCUGUAGUC